This 403-nucleotide ribosomal RNA is filed under the name bacterium. Its description in RNAcentral is "partial 16S ribosomal RNA". It matches the Rfam family "Bacterial small subunit ribosomal RNA", at positions 355 to 776 of the family's 1533-position model. The record is from RNAcentral.
UGGGGAAUAUUGCACAAUGGGGGAAACCCUGAUGCAGCGACGCCGCGUGAACGAAGAAGGUAUUCGUAUCGUAAAGUUCUGUCCUAUGGGAAGAUAAUGACAGUACCAUAGAAGAAAGCUCCGGCUAAAUACGUGCCAGCAGCCGCGGUAAUACGUAUGGAGCGAGCGUUGUCCGGAAUUAUUGGGCGUAAAGGGUACGCAGGCGGUUUAAUAAGUCGAAUGUUAAAGAUCGGGGCUCAACCCCGCAAAGCAUUGGAAACUGAUGAACUUGAGUAGUGGAGAGGAAAGUGGAAUUCCUAGUGUAGUGGUGAAAUACGUAGAUAUUAGGAGGAAUACCAGUAGCGAAGGCGACUUUCUGGACACAAACUGACGCUGAGGUACGAAAGCGUGGGGAGCAAACAGG